UAGCGUUGGAUCACUCGGUG
RNAcentral lists this microRNA (20 nucleotides) under Mus musculus (house mouse). RNAcentral's name for it is "mmu-miR-6239". The record is from miRBase by way of RNAcentral. Lineage: Eukaryota; Metazoa; Chordata; Mammalia; Rodentia; Muridae.